RNAcentral lists this unclassified non-coding RNA (1497 nucleotides) under Camptylonemopsis sp. HA4241-MV6. Its description in RNAcentral is "bacterial SSU rRNA". The stretch from base 1 to 1164 matches the Rfam family "Bacterial small subunit ribosomal RNA", at positions 356 to 1533 of the family's 1533-position model. The record is from RNAcentral. Lineage: Bacteria; Bacillati; Cyanobacteriota; Cyanophyceae; Nostocales; Nostocaceae.
GGGGAAUUUUCCGCAAUGGGCGAAAGCCUGACGGAGCAAUACCGCGUGAGGGAGGAAGGCUCUUGGGUUGUAAACCUCUUUUCUCAGGGAAGAACGCAAUGACGGUACCUGAGGAAUAAGCAUCGGCUAACUCCGUGCCAGCAGCCGCGGUAAUACGGAGGAUGCAAGCGUUAUCCGGAAUGAUUGGGCGUAAAGCGUCCGCAGGUGGCAAUGUAAGUCUGCUGUUAAAGAGCAAAGCUCAACUUUGUAAAAGCAGUGGAAACUACAUAGCUAGAGUACGUUCGGGGCAGAGGGAAUUCCUGGUGUAGCGGUGAAAUGCGUAGAGAUCAGGAAGAACACCGGUGGCGAAAGCGCUCUGCUAGGCCUGUACUGACACUGAGGGACGAAAGCUAGGGGAGCGAAUGGGAUUAGAUACCCCAGUAGUCCUAGCCGUAAACGAUGGAUACUAGGCGUGGCUUGUAUCGACCCGAGCCGUGCCGGAGCUAACGCGUUAAGUAUCCCGCCUGGGGAGUACGCACGCAAGUGUGAAACUCAAAGGAAUUGACGGGGGCCCGCACAAGCGGUGGAGUAUGUGGUUUAAUUCGAUGCAACGCGAAGAACCUUACCAAGACUUGACAUGUCGCGAAUCUCCUUGAAAGGGGAGAGUGCCUUAGGGAGCGCGAACACAGGUGGUGCAUGGCUGUCGUCAGCUCGUGUCGUGAGAUGUUGGGUUAAGUCCCGCAACGAGCGCAACCCUCGUUUUUAGUUGCCAGCAUUAAGUUGGGCACUCUAGAGAGACUGCCGGUGACAAACCGGAGGAAGGUGGGGAUGACGUCAAGUCAGCAUGCCCCUUACGUCUUGGGCUACACACGUACUACAAUGCUACGGACAAAGGGCAGCAAGCUAGCGAUAGCAAGCAAAUCUCAUAAACCGUAGCUCAGUUCAGAUCGCAGGCUGCAACUCGCCUGCGUGAAGUCGGAAUCGCUAGUAAUUGCAGGUCAGCAUACUGCAGUGAAUUCGUUCCCGGGCCUUGUACACACCGCCCGUCACACCAUGGAAGCUGGCAACGCCCGAAGUCAUUACUCCAACCAUUCGUGGGGGAGGAUGCCUAAGGCAGUGCUGGUGACUGGGGUGAAGUCGUAACAAGGUAGCCGUACCGGAAGGUGUGGCUGGAUCACCUCCUUUUUAGGGAGACCUAAUCCACUCAAAAAUCGAAAGCACACAGUUAAUAGAUGAUGAGAUGGUCUACUCUAGGUCGGUCGAGAUUGGCAAAAGCUUUCAAACUAUUAUGUGUUCGGUUUGUCAAAGCUUGAGAUGAAUUGGAAUAAAAAUUCAGCAAAAUGGCUUUUUGCCAGACUGCUGGGUUAAACCAGCCAGAACCUUGAAAACUGCAUAGUAACGCGAAAAAAAGCAGGCAGACUCAGACAUUGACUAAUUGAAUGUGUUUGCAGUGGUGAAAACCAAAAGUAAUGUGGUCAAGCUAAUAAGGGCUGAUGGUGGAUACCUAGGCACACAGAG